AGAGUUUGAUCAUGGCUCAGAACGAACGCUGGCGGCAGGCUUAACACAUGCAAGUCGAACGCUCACCUUCGGGUGGGAGUGGCAGACGGGUGAGUAACGCGUGGGAACGUACCCUUUGGUUCGGAAUAACCCAGGGAAACUUGGGCUAAUACCGGAUGCGCCGGAAACGGGAAAGGUUUACCGCCGAAGGAUCGGCCCGCGUCGGAUUAGCUAGUUGGUGGGGUAAAGGCCUACCAAGGCGACGAUCCGUAGCUGGUCUGAGAGGAUGAUCAGCCACACUGGGACUGAGACACGGCCCAGACUCCUACGGGAGGCAGCAGUGGGGAAUAUUGGUCAAUGGGCGCAAGCCUGAACCAGCCAUGCCGCGUGAGUGAAGAAGGCCUUAGGGUUGUAAAGCUCUUUCAGCGGGGACGAUAAUGACGGUACCCGCAGAAGAAGCCCCGGCUAACUUCGUGCCAGCAGCCGCGGUAAUACGAAGGGGGCUAGCGUUGUUCGGAAUUACUGGGCGUAAAGCGCGCGUAGGCGGAUAUUUAAGUCAGGGGUGAAAUCCCGGGGCUCAACCCUGGAACUGCCUUUGAUACUGGAUGUCUGGAGUUCGGGAGAGGUGAGUGGAAUUCCGAGUGUAGAGGUGAAAUUCGUAGAUAUUCGGAGGAACACCAGAAGCGAAGGCGGCUCACUGGCCCGAGACUGACGCUGAGGCGCGAAAGCGUGGGGAGCAAACAGGAUUAGAUACCCUUGUAGUCC
This 744-nucleotide ribosomal RNA is filed under the name uncultured Hyphomicrobiales bacterium. Its description in RNAcentral is "bacterial SSU rRNA". It matches the Rfam family "Bacterial small subunit ribosomal RNA", at positions 8 to 796 of the family's 1533-position model. The record is from RNAcentral. Lineage: Bacteria; Pseudomonadati; Pseudomonadota; Alphaproteobacteria; Hyphomicrobiales.